CCUCAAGGAGCGGAGCUCAUCGGAGCCUUGAAUCGAAACGGCCUGGGCUCUCUCAGACAACUGCUUCUGGAGGCGAGCAACCUCGUCGGUCGCCGUCUUGAGCCUCCUUCUGUAGUCGUCUACUUGUCCGCACCAGCCGACUCGAUAGGCAUUGUAAUUUACCUCGGUGUCCUGUAGCUACUUCUGGAGGUCAGAGAAUUUCUUCGACCAGUCCCGAUUAUGGUCGGCUUGAGUUGUAAGCCAGGACAAGCUCCCUUUCAAUUGAUCGAUCUUCUCCUGUGCGG
Molecule: long non-coding RNA, 284 nt
Filed under: Elaeis guineensis (African oil palm)
Lineage: Eukaryota; Viridiplantae; Streptophyta; Magnoliopsida; Arecales; Arecaceae
Description: long non-coding RNA (EGUI_LNC078699)
Source: RNAcentral